RNAcentral lists this ribosomal RNA (465 nucleotides) under uncultured bacterium. RNAcentral describes it as "partial 16S ribosomal RNA". It matches the Rfam family "Bacterial small subunit ribosomal RNA", at positions 29 to 507 of the family's 1533-position model. The record is from RNAcentral.
AUGAACGCUGGCGGCGUGCUUAACACAUGCAAGUCGAACGGAAAGGCUCCUGCUUGCAGGGGCACUCGAGUGGCGAACGGGCGAGUAACACGUGGGUGAUCUGCCCUGCACUUCGGGAUAAGCCUGGGAAACUGGGUCUAAUACCGGAUAGGACCAUCGUUUAGUGUCGGUGGUGGAAAGUUUUUUCGGUGUGGGAUGAGCUCGCGGCCUAUCAGCUUGUUGGUGGGGUAAUGGCCUACCAAGGCGUCGACGGGUAGCCGGCCUGAGAGGGUGUACGGCCACAUUGGGACUGAGAUACGGCCCAGACUCCUACGGGAGGCAGCAGUGGGGAAUAUUGCACAAUGGGCGCAAGCCUGAUGCAGCGACGCCGCGUGGGGGAUGACGGCCUUCGGGUUGUAAACUCCUUUCGCCAGGGACGAAGCGAAAGUGACGGUACCUGGAUAAGAAGCACCGGCUAACUACGUG